GAUAAACGCUAGCGGCAGGCCUAACACAUGCAAGUCGAGCGGCAGCACGGUGUAGCAAUACAUUGGUGGCGAGCGGCGGACGGGUGAGUAACGCGUAUGCAACCUGCCCGCAACACGGAGAUAGCCGACCGAAAGGACGAUUAAACUCCGAUAGUAUCGAGAGGGGGCAUCCCCUUUUGAUUAAAUAUUCAUAGGUUGCGGAUGGGCAUGCGUGGCAUUAGUUAGUUGGCGGGGCAACGGCCCACCAAGACGAUGAUGCCUAUGGGUUCUAAAAGGAAGGUCCCACACAUCGGUACUGAGACACGGACCGAACUCC
Molecule: ribosomal RNA, 316 nt
Filed under: uncultured Bacteroidales bacterium
Lineage: Bacteria; Pseudomonadati; Bacteroidota; Bacteroidia; Bacteroidales
Description: bacterial SSU rRNA
Rfam family: Bacterial small subunit ribosomal RNA
Source: RNAcentral